UUAUCUUCAGUUUAUCAUGUAUCAUUUAUUGUUUAUUUCAGAGCACGUAGGAUAAAACCCAUUCUAGAUGGUCCAGUUGGGCCUCCUGCAGUCACUUGCAGGCUUACACAAACAUGCACAUACAGAGUUAUGUAAAACACGCACGUUCACAUACACACUUAAUAAGAACAGAAAGGUCGUCUUAGGACAUGCUCCCUGUUGGACAUACACUCACAAAAUACACACUCAUGAACACACUAUUGGUUAAGUUCCCAGAAAGCCGGAGUGGAAACAUCUGGAAAAUGUUGUUGUUCUUAGCCAUAGAAGGACAUAGAAGUGAGAACUGACUGAUACUUAUCAUGUGACUUGACGUCAUCAUUGCAAUAAAAACCUUGUGAAGAGACUGUUCGGGGGAGAUCGGCUCUUAAAGGCUUGUGAUGCUCAUCUUCCCCAUAUGUACAUAUGUAUAAUAAAAAUCACUAUUUUGACAUCUACUGAGA
Molecule: long non-coding RNA, 479 nt
Organism: Haplochromis burtoni (Burton's mouthbrooder)
Lineage: Eukaryota; Metazoa; Chordata; Actinopteri; Cichliformes; Cichlidae
Exons: 2
Source: RefSeq, a predicted model, not a curated record